Coturnix japonica (Japanese quail) is the source of this 1329-nucleotide non-coding RNA. NCBI's taxonomy places the organism in Eukaryota, Metazoa, Chordata, Aves, Galliformes, Phasianidae. The record is from RefSeq and is a predicted model, not a curated record.
AUGUCUUUUAAAAAUCAUAGAAUCAAAGAUCAAGUCUAACUCCCUCGGUGUUUCUUCAUAGGAGAGGUGCUCCAGCCCUCUGAUCAUCCCUAUGACCUUCCUUUCGACCCACUCCAGGAGCUUCACAUCAUUCCUGUACUGGGGGCCCCAGAUCUGGACUCAGUACUCCAGAUGGGACCUCACGAGGGCAGAGUAGUGAGGUUUGGCGGAGAUUACUGAUGAAGAGUUUGAGCUGCUACUUGACAGAAUCCCCCUUGAUGAAGAUGGAAAUGUCAGAUACCCCCAGUUCAUGGACAGGUUUGAUUCCUGAUAUUAACAGGAAAAGAGCUGAAAGAUUUGCCUUGAGUGGAAGAAAAAGUUUCUGAGCCUAAAGGAAUAGAAUCAGUGAGGAUGAUAUGGAAACCUUUGCCCACAGUCAUAGAUGGACAAUGCAGAAUUUAAUAGUUCCAUAGGUGGCUGCAGCCUAUGCCAGAUUUCAGACUGUGACAAUAGGAAGGAGUGACAGAGAUGAAGGGUGAAUGUCAACCUUAAGUGUCAUAUUUGAAGAGCUAAGGGGAGAGGACAUCUACAAGGUAUUGAAUGAAUAACAAGGUAUUGAGUGAAGAGGGCCUUGUGGAAUCGUCCUAAUCCGGGAAGAGCCACUGCCUCCCUGUGUGAUCUGACAGAGUGACAUAUCACUUGACCUCGGUCGCGGCAGCUGUACGACGAGGUGGAAAAGGCGGCUGACGGACAACCAGGGGAUGCUUUGCAGCGCAGCUUCCUCGGGGUAAACCACGAGCAAACUCACGGCUCGGCUUCUUACUCAUCCGUGAGUUUUAGAGCAAAUUCAGGUUUUGCAAAGUUUCUCUUGGAUUUUUUUAGUUAUCAUUAUACAGUGGAAGCCGGCUGUUGCAGGCGGGACGAGGGGCCGCGCUCCCCGCCGUAGCGCCGCCGGGACUGCAGGGGGCGCGGCGGCUCCGCUGCAGCCGCACGGUGCCCUAUGGGCUGCAGUAUUUAGAACCUCGCCCUUAGGCGCUUCAUUAGAUGCUCAGUGAUUGUUAGCCAGGAAUUCAGGAUUCAUCCUUCCUUCUACACGAGGUAUUUAUGAUGUUUUAAUAUUUGAAGAGCAACUCGUGGUCCUGAAAUGUAAUAUUUUUUAGGACUAAAUGUGAGUAAGGCUUCAAGGAAUAAAUGUGCUGCUGGUUGAAGAUGCUGUAGUAGUUCUGACCCUCCAGAUUUUGAAGCUGGGGAUUAAGUUGGUGUUUCACUAAGUAGCACUUGCACAUUUUGAGUGGUAAGGAAAAUACAAAGUACAUCUGAAAAUGCAUGAUAACACAAAAUCACUGCAGC